UUGCAAGGCUGUAUCAACUUCAGAAUGGCUGAUCUAGUCUGAUCUCUGAAGCUAAGCAGGGUUGGGUCUGGUUAGUGCCUGGAUGGGGGACACCAGGUGCCAGU
This 104-nucleotide ribosomal RNA is filed under the name Periophthalmus magnuspinnatus. Lineage: Eukaryota; Metazoa; Chordata; Actinopteri; Gobiiformes; Gobiidae. The record is from RNAcentral.